RNAcentral lists this long non-coding RNA (266 nucleotides) under Ananas comosus (pineapple). Its description in RNAcentral is "long non-coding RNA (ACOM_LNC035016)". Lineage: Eukaryota; Viridiplantae; Streptophyta; Magnoliopsida; Poales; Bromeliaceae. The record is from RNAcentral.
GCUUAGGGGUGGAAAUGAAAAGAAAGAACCAAAUUGUAAUAAUUUGUAGUAACUUGAUUGUAUUCGGAAGUUAAAUGUAAUAUGUAAAAAUUGAGAUGAAUACUUGUAAUAGCUUAGUAUUUAUGUUUUCGAUAUCUUCCUUAUGCAAUCUAUGUUUAAAUUCUGUUCCUUGCUGGAACUUCGCGAAUUGUAUGGAUUAUGAUGCCUAGGACGUGCAGGGGAGACUCUGUUCAUUCGGCGGUCUGUCGGUGUGCCUGAAUCCGACC